Oncorhynchus kisutch (coho salmon) is the source of this 3372-nucleotide long non-coding RNA. RefSeq lists it as uncharacterized. The record is from RefSeq and is a predicted model, not a curated record. The transcript has 8 exons. NCBI's taxonomy places the organism in Eukaryota, Metazoa, Chordata, Actinopteri, Salmoniformes, Salmonidae.
GGUUUUGGCCUAAAUUCGGCUAAUUUCCUCACUGGUGAAACCUUUGAUCUCAAUAGAGUUUUCUGUUCCCAAAACUAGAAUCUGUCAAGAACAGAGUGGACUAAGUUUUGUAGUCUUUACUCUCUUUACUCUUUGCCACAAAUUGCGAUGAUUAGGAGUGCAAAGGCGAAUUUAGUUAUUGCGCACAUGCAUUUCACAGAGUACGUGCUCCCUAACGAAACUAUUCAAAUUCACAAUUUGAUCAAACGGAAACGAAAAUAGAUUUAGACCAAUUAACAUUUGGAACACACCGACACUGUUUUUUCUACACCAUAAUUACUUUAAUUUCCAAUGAAACGCUGCGUUUGCCUUGCAGCAUUGCGUUGCAGUGCAUUCGGUGCGCAACUGUGUAAACGGCUUAACAGAAAUGUUAGCAGAAGGUGAAUGUUGAACUUUUGUUGCAUACAUUUCCAGAUGAUACUGUAUACUAUUUUGCGCAAGAACGCUAUCGGUGUGUUCGAAAAGUAACGCUUAAACGGCAAGAUGUUUUCGUAACAGGACGGAUGUUGACAUUGUCGUGUCCUCACGUGAAUAGCAUGACACGCUUUUAAUGUCAAUGCUAAGGCUAGCCGUUGUAGUAGAUAGAACAAUGUCGUGUGUAAUUUCGGGCUAUUCUUUGGGUACUGAAAUCAGUAGGUUCUGAUAAAAACGUAUUUCGAUGUGACGUCUGCUCUAGUUCGCCCACACGAAUGGCCUCUCAACUCUAUCGUAAAUCGUGUCGUUGCGUUUAAUCGGCUAAGUCAAAACCAUGAUUUUCCAAUGAUGAGGGAUAAGAAUUUGCCAAGAAAAUUAUUUUGUAAUAUUAUAAUUAUACUGUAUAGACAUGCUGGUUAGAUAUAAAUCAGGACACCAUCACUGUCAGUCAGAUGUUUUUGUGACAUUGUUGCUGGAUGCAUGAAUGAAUGGUUUAGAUGUUUCACCAAAGGAAUAUGCAGGCAUUUCUCCUUCCCUGUGGAUUCUAAGUUAUGUUGGCCUGAUCUUGGCAGUGGUUACCUUCUGAAGAUGUGGCAUUCCAUUCUCACUUGAACUAGGCCCCAUGGCCUUGUUUCGGCUCCAAGCUGUGACUGGGAGCUUCUACUUUUGCAGGUUUCUGCAUUGAGGGUGCAGUGAACCGGGACCAGGUUCUAGAGCAGCUUGGCACCUGCUAAGGUGAAGACCAAGUGUUGGAGGUGGUGGGCAAGAACAAGGCCAAGCUGACUGUGAACCAUGUUGGCUGUGCCAUGGGCAUGCUCUGGCAGUUCCAGUGAGAGAAGCCACAGAUGCUGAGAACGGUUGAGUUCUUUAAAAGCCACCCUGAGUUCCUGACUCUCCGGGUGCUGGCUGGGAACAAAAUUGAGCUUGUGGAUGAUUUCACAUUGGUGGACAUGCUCUAAAAUGUUCUCAGGUACAGAUGUUGGCUAGAUUUCUGAUGCCUUCACUGUCUAAGUUUGCUGUCUGCCUAAGGGAUCAACAUCUGCAGAACAGUCCUCUCAUGGGUCAGAUCACUGACAUUUUGAAUCAAAAACUCUCCACAAUUGAUGAUGUGAGGCUGGAGAGUACAACACUGCUUUAGGCAGAGGAGUUUAAUGCCAGCGGGCCCUGGCUGUGGCAGAGACACUGGAGGAGAUUCAGCGUAGAAACCUGCAGCUGAUCCAAAGACAGUCUACCCAUAUGAGGUGACCAUGCUACCUGGACUCGACGAAGGCGUAAUUUCAUGGGUGGAGGCAGUGCUGCUCCAGUGUAAUCUGAAUGAACCUUUGCAAUGGCUGUCGCUAAGUGGGUGAGCAAUGACCCGUCCUACCGACACAACACUCCCAGCAAGUAUGUGCGUCUGCUGCAGUCACUGAACCGCUGCGUGCAUGAGCGCCUGCGCAAGGCUGAGCGCCUGGACCUGGUGUUGGAGGAGCUCAAGUACAUGUCAGGGGAAUGGUUUGAGGAGAUUCUGCUGGAGGAGACCAUGGUUACGCUCCGGAGGCUGGAGAACCAGAUAUCUGGGCCAAUGUGCCCGAGAUGGCCCUUUUUCUGACCAUGACUAGUCACCUCUGUACUCCAUUAAUGGACCGCGUAGCUAGCAUGACCAUGGAGCACAUCAACAAGGAAUUUUGAGACAUGACAUUUUAUUUCACAUCAGGGAAUACUGUUCUUUUGCCUGUAUAUAUGUAGAGACGGAAAGAAUGAGUCCAUACCAGAGCAAUGUUUUUCUUUUCACUACUCAGCAACUUGCUGCCCUUUGCUGUACUGAAUUAUAAUCCAGCAAGGGUGGAUGAGCUGUUUGACAUCUGCAUUCAGCACUUCAUACCUCACAUCAGUCUCUUUGACCUCAAUCUGCUGGUAGUUGAUCCCAUCUGCUGCCUGUGGCUGAUUUCUUCCCGGAAGACCUGAUUCGAGAAAUCGUCAACGUGGAUUUCCUUGCCAAGCUGGAUUCCCAGUUAGAAAGUUUGUUAUAUAAUUAUAUUAGAAAUAUCCCAAUGAAGACAAUGCCAGCAUCCUGUAUCCCCUACUAUCUGAAAACAUCCUUUUCAGAUAAAGCUAAAGGGAUAAGAGAACCUCUCUGUUAUGUGGUAGCCCUGCCUGACGGCCAAAACAUGCGGAUCCGCCCGCGUCUCACAGAGCUGAAUCGGUCUGUGUGGUUGGAGUGUCCAGAGCGGAUUGGUGUUAAACUCAAAAGGUAAUCAAAUGUGUCACCUGUUCUAGUUGUGAGCUGUAUUUCUUCUGAUCUCCCUAGACUUUGAAUGUGUUCUGGACAGACACCACCAGGCAGUGACCUACAGUGAGCAGAGCCAGCUGCAGAUAUCUGACGGUGGGAAGGUCCACUGGGGUUCUGACUCUGCAGGGAAGGAGAGGAGUGAGGUCCCUCCAGGGGCACAACGUUACUGUGGACGUCUUGGAUUCCAAAUCAUUCUACAAACCGUCUCGUCACAUGAAAGGGGAAAUCAUGAUGAGAAAGACAUCUGGAGAUUCUAGGAUAACAUGUUGUCAAGAUCCCUAUGGAGCUCUCCACACUGGAUGCAUGGAAGGAAUACCUUAGGAAGAAGAUAGUUACUGAGCUUUCCUGAAGCACCUAGACGUUGAAUCAAUGACACGUGUUAUAUUGCUUUUGCUACUGAUGUGAGAGACAAAGUCUGCCUUUGAAAAUGUAUUUUUGCAGGCAGAUCAUUAACAAUUGAUGUUAUUGCCUACUCCGAAUCCUAGAGUGGACAUGCAGUUAUCUCACCUCCUGCCAAGAGAUUGUAUCAUAUGAAGUGUAACGUUUGUCAAACAAUAGUAAAUAUUUGUAAUAAGAAAUAGCAUUGUUUUUGUAGUUUUGAUACAUCCAAAUAAUCUGUCCCACAUAAAUAAAAUACAAAAAACGUU